UGGGAGAUGAGGCCCACUUUUGGACCACAUGU
This 32-nucleotide non-coding RNA is filed under the name Homo sapiens (human). The record is from RNAcentral. Lineage: Eukaryota; Metazoa; Chordata; Mammalia; Primates; Hominidae.